RNAcentral lists this ribosomal RNA (484 nucleotides) under uncultured bacterium. Its description in RNAcentral is "partial 16S ribosomal RNA". It matches the Rfam family "Bacterial small subunit ribosomal RNA", at positions 30 to 507 of the family's 1533-position model. The record is from RNAcentral.
AUUGAACGCUGGCGGCAGGCCUAACACAUGCAAGUCGAGCGGAUGAAGGGAGCUUGCUCCUGGAUUCAGCGGCGGACGGGUGAGUAAUGCCUAGGAAUCUGCCUUGUAGUGGGGGAUAACGUCCGGAAACGGGCGCUAAUACCGCAUACGUCCUGAGGGAGAAAGUGGGGGAUCUUCGGACCUCACGCUAUCAGAUGAGCCUAGGGCGGAUUAGCUAGUUGGUGGGGUAAAGGCCUACCAAGGCGACGAUCCGUAACUGGUCUGAGAGGAUGACCAGUCACACUGGAACUGAGACACGGUCCAGACUCCUACGGGAGGCAGCAGUGGGGAAUAUUGGACAAUGGGCGAAAGACUGAUCCAGCCAUGCCGCGUGUGUGAAGAAGGUCUUCGGAUUGUAAAGCACUUUAAGUUGGGAGGAAGGGCAGUAAGUUAAUACCUUGCUGUUUUGACGUUACCAACAGAAUAAGCACCGGCUAACUUCGUG